AGAGAGAGACAUGCGCGCAUAUCAAUAAGCGGAGGAAAAGAAACUAACUAAGGAUUCCCUCAGUAACGGCGAGUGAAGCGGGAAGAGCUCAAAUUUGAAAUCUUCAAGGGUUCUACCUUUACGAAUUGUAGUUUAAAGAAGUGUUUUCUGUUGAGGUUUUGGUAAAAGUUCUUUGGAAUAGGACAUCAUAGAGGGUGAGAAUCCCGUAUUUGACCAUUAUUUCCAGCUUUGUGAUACACUUUCAAAGAGUCGGAUUGUUUGGGAAUGCAGUCCAAAAUGGGUGGUAAAUUUCAUCUAAAGCUAAAUAUUGGCGAGAGACCGAUAGCGAACAAGUACCGUGAGGGAAAGAUGAAAAGAACUUUGAAAAGAGAGUUAAACAGUACGUGAAAUUGUCAAAAGGGAAGCGUUUGACACCAGUGUUGUUUUCUCGAAAAUCAAUUAAAAAAGGCAGGAUUUUGUGUUGUAUUGACUUUAUCAGCUUUCUGCACUCUUUUCUUGUCUUUUUUAAUGCACUUUUCGUUUAACAAGUCAACAUCAAUUUCUUUUGUUGUAAAAGGGUCAUUGGAAGGUGGCUUUCUUUUCGGAGAAAGUGUUUAUAGCCUUUGGCCUCUGCAAUCGGAGAGAUUGAGGUCUGCAGCGUAGAUCCUUCGGGGUUAGAUACAUUUGUGCUAAGUUAUAGCCUUUCAUAGACAACUUGUUGACUAUGAUCAGUCAUGUAGCUUACUCGCUUAUGCUAUUUUACCUACGCUUAGGAUGUUGAUGUGAUACUGCGAGCA
RNAcentral lists this ribosomal RNA (776 nucleotides) under uncultured Neocallimastigales. Its description in RNAcentral is "partial large subunit ribosomal RNA". It matches the Rfam family "Eukaryotic large subunit ribosomal RNA", at positions 23 to 639 of the family's 3401-position model. Lineage: Eukaryota; Fungi; Neocallimastigomycota; Neocallimastigomycetes; Neocallimastigales. The record is from RNAcentral.